Molecule: microRNA, 24 nt
Filed under: Bovine leukemia virus
Lineage: Riboviria; Pararnavirae; Artverviricota; Revtraviricetes; Ortervirales; Retroviridae
Description: blv-miR-B4-3p
Gene: blv-miR-B4-3p
Source: miRBase by way of RNAcentral
UAGCACCACAGUCUCUGCGCCUUU